CGUGGCGGGCGGAUGACCGCCCCGGGGCCCGCGUCCGAGCGAUCGGGCGUCGGGAGCAUCCCGGGGAGGAAAGUCCGGACUCCGAAGGGCGCGAUGGUGGGUAACGCCCACCGCCCGGCCUGGUGACGGGACGGGUAGGGAAAGUGCAACAGAGAGUAAACCGCCUCCCCGGCCUUCGGGCCGGGGCGGUAAGGGUGAAACGGUGAGGUAAGAGCUCACCAGCAGGCCGGGCGACCGGCCUGGCUCGGCAAACCCCAUCGGGAGCAAGACCAAAUAAGGGGGCAGCGGACCGGUCGGGCAACCGCCCGGUCCCGCGGGUCGGCCCGGCCCGCCACCGACCCCCGGGUAGGUCGCUCGAGGCGUCGGGCAACCGGCGUCCCAGAGAAAUGGUCAUCCGGGCGCCUUCGGGCGCCCGACAGAAUCCGGCUUAUCGCCCGUCACGAAUC
This 446-nucleotide RNase P RNA is filed under the name Tautonia plasticadhaerens. Its description in RNAcentral is "Bacterial RNase P class A". It matches the Rfam family "Bacterial RNase P class A". From Rfam's summary of the family: Ribonuclease P (RNase P) is a ubiquitous endoribonuclease, found in archaea, bacteria and eukarya as well as chloroplasts and mitochondria. Its best characterised activity is the generation of mature 5'-ends of tRNAs by cleaving the 5'-leader elements of precursor-tRNAs. Lineage: Bacteria; Pseudomonadati; Planctomycetota; Planctomycetia; Isosphaerales; Isosphaeraceae. The record is from Rfam by way of RNAcentral.